AUUGAACGCUGGUGGCAUGCUUUACACAUGCAAGUCGAACGGCAGCGCGGGCUUCGGCCUGGCGGCGAGUGGCGAACGGGUGAGUAAUACAUCGGAACGUGCCCAGUAGUGGGGGAUAGCUCGGCGAAAGCCGGAUUAAUACCGCAUACGACCUGAGGGUGAAAGCGGGGGAUCUUCGGACCUCGCGCUAUUGGAGCGGCCGAUGGCAGAUUAGCUAGUUGGUGGGGUAAAGGCCUACCAAGGCGACGAUCUGUAGCUGGUCUGAGAGGACGACCAGCCACACUGGGACUGAGACACGGCCCAGACUCCUACGGGAGGCAGCAGUGGGGAAUUGUGGACAAUGGGCGAAAGCCUGAUCCAGCAAUGCCGCGUGUGAUGAAGGCCUUCGGGUUGUAAAGCACUUUUGGCGGGAACGAAAAGGACUGUGCCAAUACCACGGUUCGAUGACGGUACCCGCAGAAUAAGCACCGGCUAACUACGUG
RNAcentral lists this ribosomal RNA (482 nucleotides) under uncultured bacterium. RNAcentral describes it as "partial 16S ribosomal RNA". It matches the Rfam family "Bacterial small subunit ribosomal RNA", at positions 29 to 507 of the family's 1533-position model. The record is from RNAcentral.